This 881-nucleotide long non-coding RNA is filed under the name Homo sapiens (human). RNAcentral's name for it is "long non-coding RNA NONHSAT216849.1". Lineage: Eukaryota; Metazoa; Chordata; Mammalia; Primates; Hominidae. The record is from RNAcentral.
GGAAGUGGCAUUAAAUGAGCUCUCAGAGGCCUCCCAGCAGUGACCCAGAAUGAGGUUGUUAGGAAAAUCCACUACAUGAAGAUGUGCAGUCUCUGGCUGGGAGCAGGACACCAGCUGCCCAACAGCACAGGCUCAGGGCAUGGCACUGUCUCCACUGUCCCCAUCCCCAACCUGGAAGCUAGAGCCUCGCUGCCCUGCCACUUCUGGAUGCAGGACAGAGAACCGGAACUGGGACUGUGGUCUCUCAGUAGAGGCUGUGAACAGCCAUCUGUGGCCACACGGAUUGAGACCUUUCCUGCUCACUCUUCAAACUGGGGCACCGGCUGGGUGCCCAACAGAAAGACAAUUGGAAGAGUGGCAGGUAAACCAGGCUGUGGCCCUGCAGUGCCAUCACCGUCCUCAUUUGAAUUCUGGCUCGUCUGUUCCUCUACGGCCCCUCCGCAUGGCGCUGGAAGGAGCUGGGGCCAUACCAGAGUCAGAGCUGGACCGGGAGCACGGCAGGGCCCAGCCAUCCACAGCCUCCAAUUUCAGUACUCUCUAACAACCUGAGAGCCUGAGCCUUCGGAUCUUCUUGAUUCCUACUUUGAUAAAGAGAGGGAUGGGGUUGGAAGGACCUGGCAUAGAGAUUGGACCAGUCCGGCAUUGACAGAGCCAGGACCUGGGGUCCGGAACUGAGCUCAGCUCCAGGCUCAUCUGAAGUCACCCUGACAGCCUGAGGAUGGAGACCUUAUUUCCAUUAACAGGCAUGGCGGUUGGCAGGGACUGGCCCCAGCUGAGCACGGUUUUCCAAGUACACAGCUGGGAAUUAAGUCUUCUCUGCCGCCCUCCCCUGUAGUCUUGCCUGGAUCCCCCCAGUCAUCUACUCCCAGUACCAAAAACUC